GGGCCCGCACAAGCGGUGGAGCAUGUGGUUUAAUUCGAUGAUACGCGAGGAACCUUACCAGGGCUUAAAUGUAGUAUGACCGGUCUAGAAAUAGGCCUUCCCUUCGGGCAGAUUACAAGGUGCUGCAUGGUUGUCGUCAGCUCGUGCCGUGAGGUGUUAGGUUAAGUCCUGCAACGAGCGCAACCCCUAUUCUUAGUUGCCAGCGGUUCGGCCGGGGACUCUAAGAAGACUGCCAGCGCAAGCUGUGAGGAAGGUGGGGAUGACGUCAAAUCAUCACGGCCCUUACGUCCUGGGCUACACACGUGCUACAAUGGCCGGUACAGAGAGCAGCCACUUCGCAAGAAGGAGCG
This 350-nucleotide ribosomal RNA is filed under the name uncultured bacterium. RNAcentral describes it as "bacterial SSU rRNA". It matches the Rfam family "Bacterial small subunit ribosomal RNA", at positions 917 to 1269 of the family's 1533-position model. The record is from RNAcentral.